AGAGUUUGAUUCUGGCUCAGAUUGAACGCUGGCGGCAGGCCUAACACAUGCAAGUCGAGCGGUAGAGAGAAGCUUGCUUCUCUUGAGAGCGGCGGACGGGUGAGUAAUGCCUAGGAAUCUGCCUGGUAGUGGGGGAUAACGUUCGGAAACGAACGCUAAUACCGCAUACGUCCUACGGGAGAAAGCAGGGGACCUUCGGGCCUUGCGCUAUCAGAUGAGCCUAGGUCGGAUUAGCUAGUUGGUGGGGUAAUGGCUCACCAAGGCGACGAUCCGUAACUGGUCUGAGAGGAUGAUCAGUCACACUGGAACUGAGACACGGUCCAGACUCCUACGGGAGGCAGCAGUGGGGAAUAUUGGACAAUGGGCGAAAGCCUGAUCCAGCCAUGCCGCGUGUGUGAAGAAGGUCUUCGGAUUGUAAAGCACUUUAAGUUGGGAGGAAGGGCCAUUACCUAAUACGUGAUGGUUUUGACGUUACCGACAGAAUAAGCACCGGCUAACUCUGUGCCAGCAGCCGCGGUAAUACAGAGGGUGCAAGCGUUAAUCGGAAUUACUGGGCGUAAAGCGCGCGUAGGUGGUUUGUUAAGUUGGAUGUGAAAUCCCCGGGCUCAACCUGGGAACUGCAUUCAAAACUGACUGACUAGAGUAUGGUAG
RNAcentral lists this ribosomal RNA (651 nucleotides) under Pseudomonas rhodesiae. Its description in RNAcentral is "bacterial SSU rRNA". It matches the Rfam family "Bacterial small subunit ribosomal RNA", at positions 8 to 654 of the family's 1533-position model. Lineage: Bacteria; Pseudomonadati; Pseudomonadota; Gammaproteobacteria; Pseudomonadales; Pseudomonadaceae. The record is from RNAcentral.